ACCCGCUGAACUUAAGCAUAUCACUAAGCGGAGGAAAAGAAAAUAACUAUGAUUGCCCCAGUAACGGCGAGUGAAGCGGCAAGAGCCCAAAAUGGUAAUCUUCACGCUGUGCGUGACGAAUUGUAACCUACAGGUGGAAUCCUCAAUUGGUGGAGACGCAGAAGUGACCUAGAAUGGUCCGCCAUGGAGGGUGACAGCCCCGUAUGUGGUGUCUCCGCCUAACGAGGGUCCUUCGAAGAGUCGGGUUGUUUUGAAAUGCAGCCCUAAGUGGGAGAUAGACUUCUUCUAAGGCUAAAUAUAUAUGGGAAACCGAUAGCGAACAAGUACUGUGAAGGAAAGAUGAAAAGAACUUUGAAAAGAGAGUCAAAAGACUUGAAAUCGUUGAGAAGGAAGCGGUAGAAAUUUAUUCUUCAGCCGUGAACGCAGCAUGUCGCCGAUCCAUUGGGGCUCUGAGCACUUCAAAGGCUCUCCGUUUCACUUGGGGAAGUGAUUUGUGUGUUCUAGGCUGUGAGGCAAAAUGGGGUUCCACAUCCACAAAAGCUUGGAUGACCUGAGCCGGUCCGCCGGUUAGUCUCCUGUGCUCGCGGGCGUGCAGCCUGAGGAUGCUCUGUGCGAUUUUGCUAAAAUGGUUUUUACCGACCCGUCUCGAAACACGGACCAAGGAGUCUAACAAAUAUGCGAGUGUGCUGGUGGAAAAACCAACACGCAUAAUGAAAGUGAUUGAUGCCAAGCGCAAGCGGCAGCAUCGACCGACCAUGAUCCUCUGGUGAAAGGUUUGAGUAAGAGCAUAUCUGUUAGGACCCGAAAGAUGGUGAACUAUGCCUGGGUAGGGUGAAGCCAGGGGAAACUCUGGUGGAGGCUCGUAGCGGUUCUGACGUGCAAAUCGAUCGUCAAACUUGGGUAUAGGGGCGAAAGACUAAUCGAACCAUCUAGUAGCUGGUUCCCUCCGAAGUUUCCCUUAGGAUAGCUGGGACAAUAACGCAGUUUUAUCAGGUAAAGCGAAUGAUUAGAGGAAUCUGGGGUAAAUUGCCCUGGACCUAUUCUCAAACUUUAAAUUGGUAAGAACCUUGGCCUUUCUUAAUUGAGGCAUGAGGGAUCAAUGCGUGUCCCAUGUGGGCCAUUUUUGGUAAGCAGAACUGGCGAUGAGGGUUGCUCCUAACGUUGAGUUAAGGUGCCCAACUGCACGCUCAUCAGAAACUACAAAGGGUGUUGAUUCAUCUAGACAGCAGGACGGUGGCCAUGGAAGUCGGAACCCGCUAAGGAGUGUGUAACAACUCACCUGCCGAAUGGAUUAGCCCCGAAAAUCGAUGGCGCUAAAGCGUGCGACCAAUACUCAACCAUUGCAGCGAGAGUGAGGCCGCAAUGAGUAGGAGGGCGUGAACGUUGUUGCGAAGCCUCUGGCGUGAGCCUUGGUUGAACAGCGUUUAGUGCAGAUCUUGGUGGUAGUAGCAAUUAUUCAAAUGAGAACUUUGAAGGCCGAAGUGGAGAAGGCUUCCGUGAGAACAGCAAUUGGUCGCGGGUGACUCGAUCCUAAGACAUGGGGGAAAUCCUUGUUAAGUGCACCUUAUGGUGCGUAGUCGAAAGGGAAUGAGGUUAAUAUUCCUCAAGCUGGACGUGGGUGUUGUAUGGUAACAUAAAUGAGCUCAGAGACGCCAGCGUGAGCCUCUGGAAGAGUUAUCUUUUCUUUUUAACAGACUAAUGACCUUGAAAUUGGAUUAUCCAGAGCUAAGGUGAUAUGUCUGGAAGAGCACCUUGCUUUUCGAGGUGUCAGGUGCGCUCACGAUGGUCCAUGAAAAUCUGAGUGAGAUUACUUCACACCAGGUCGUACCCAUAACCGCAUCAGGUCUCCAAGGUU
RNAcentral lists this ribosomal RNA (1855 nucleotides) under Bergeriella ovata. RNAcentral's name for it is "eukaryotic LSU rRNA". It matches the Rfam family "Eukaryotic large subunit ribosomal RNA", at positions 23 to 1874 of the family's 3401-position model. Lineage: Eukaryota; Ciliophora; Spirotrichea; Urostylida. The record is from RNAcentral.